Molecule: ribosomal RNA, 433 nt
Filed under: uncultured bacterium
Lineage: Bacteria
Description: partial 16S ribosomal RNA
Rfam family: Bacterial small subunit ribosomal RNA
Source: RNAcentral
AACGAACGCUGGCGGCAUGCCUAACACAUGCAAGUCGAACGAGACCUUCGGGACUAGUGGCUCACGCGUGCGUAAAGUGUGGGAACCUGCCCUUAGGUUUGGAAUUCCACUCUGACGGGGGUGCUAAUAUCGGAUAAUGUAUUCGAAUAAAAGAUUCAUCGUCUUUGGAUGAGCACGCGUUGGAUUAGCUUGUGGGUAGGGGAAAAGCCUAUCACGGCGAGGCUCCAUAGCUGGUUUCAGAGGAUGAGCAGCCACACUGAGACUAGGACGCGGCACGGACUCCUACGGGAUGCAGCAAUGGGUAAUAUUGGACUAUCGGCGGAAGCCUGAAGCAGCUAGGCCUCGUGAGUGAUGAAGGCCUUAGAGUUAUAAAGCUCGUUUACCCGGGAUUAUAAUGACGGUACCGAAAGAAUAAGCACCGGCUAACUCCGUG